RNAcentral lists this ribosomal RNA (1011 nucleotides) under Triticum aestivum (bread wheat). Its description in RNAcentral is "partial small subunit ribosomal RNA". Lineage: Eukaryota; Viridiplantae; Streptophyta; Magnoliopsida; Poales; Poaceae. The record is from RNAcentral.
AUGUCCUCCCUGUACAAGCAGCUGGGCCUGGGCGCCGCCGGCUCGCCGCUCACGGCCUCCCACCUCCUCAUGCUCGUCCUCGGCGCCGGCUUCCUCGCCUUCACCGUCUUCGUCGUCCACCCCAACGACUUCCGCCUCCAGUCCUUCUUCUCCGGCGGCUGCCCCGGCUCCCCGCCCCACGACGCCGUCCUCUUGCCGGUCAAGCACGCCGACGCCACCACGCCGGCCAAGGCGCCGGUCGAGCACCCCGGCGUGCGCGUGCUGAUCGGCAUCCAGACGAUGCCGGGCAAGUACGAGCGGCGGCACCUGCUGCGGACCGUCUACGCGCUGCAGCUGCAGGAGCACCCCGCCCUCGCCGGCGCCGUGGACGUGCGCUUCGUCUUCUGCAACGUCACCUCCGCCGUCGACGCCGUGCUGGUGGCCCUGGAGAUCAUGCGCUACGGCGACAUCAUCGUGCUGAACUGCGCCGAGAACAUGGACGGCGGCAAGACGUACGACUUCUUCGCCACCGCCGCGCGCGCCUUCCCCGACGGCGCCUACGACUACGUGAUGAAGGCUGACGACGACACGUACCUGCGGCUCCCGGCGCUGGCGGCGUGGAUGGCCGGCGCGGCGCGGGAGGACGCGUACCUGGGCCUGCAGAUGCCCUGCGACCGCGAGAACUUCUACCCGUUCCCGCCCUUCAUGUCCGGCAUGGGGUACGCGCUGUCGUGGGACCUGGUGCGCUGGGUGGCGCGGUCGGAGGUCAGCCGCCGCGACCGCGUCGGGCCGGAGGACAUGUGGACGGGGCGGUGGCUCAACGUCGCCGGCAAGGCCAAGAACCGGUACGACGGCGCCCCCAGGAUGUACAACUACCUGGGGAGCUCCCCGGCCAACUGCUUCCGGCGCGGCUUCCGCCCGGACACCAUCGCCGUGCACAUGCUCAAGGACGCCGGCCGGUGGGCGGAGACGCUCGCCUACUUCAACGCCACCGCCGCGCUGCCGCCGUCCGGCCUCUACCACCUGCCUUGA